This 87-nucleotide transfer RNA is filed under the name Pararhodospirillum photometricum DSM 122. Its description in RNAcentral is "tRNA-Leu". Lineage: Bacteria; Pseudomonadati; Pseudomonadota; Alphaproteobacteria; Rhodospirillales; Rhodospirillaceae. The record is from RNAcentral.
AAGACUUGGUCCGGGGUCAGCAGGGGGUUGGGCAGGCGUCCCAGCAGAGCCGCUUGGGUCUGCGCCACCCAGAACGGCAGCUUGAUC